UCGAGAAUCUUCCGCAAUGGGCGAAAGCCUGACGGAGCGACGCCGCGUGACUGAUGAAGUUCUUCGGAACGUAAAGGUCUUUUGUGAGGUAGAAAGUAAUUGAUCGCCUCAAGAAUAAGGGGUUGCUAAACUCGUGCCAGCAGCAGCGGUAAUACGAGUGCCCCGAGCGUUAUCCGGAAUUAUUGGGCGUAAAGGGUGUGUAGGCGGCUCUGUUAGUCUUUUGUUAAAGCUCCCGGCUUAACCGGGAAGGUGCAAAAGAAACGGCAGAACUUGAGGGUGCGAGAGGUGAAUGGAACUCAUAGUGUAGGGGUGAAAUCCGUUGAUAUUAUGGGGAACACCAAAAGCGAAGGCAAUUCACUGGCGCAUUCCUGACGUUGAGACACGAAAGCGUGGGUAGCGAAUGGG
RNAcentral lists this ribosomal RNA (405 nucleotides) under uncultured bacterium. RNAcentral describes it as "bacterial SSU rRNA". It matches the Rfam family "Bacterial small subunit ribosomal RNA", at positions 355 to 776 of the family's 1533-position model. The record is from RNAcentral.